UCCCCAACUGCUUCACCUCCCCUUGCAUCUUCACCCAGAAUAAGUGAGCUUCAUGAGCUUCCUAGACCACCAGGGAAUUUAGCCUCAAAACCAGCAAAAUCAUCCAUAAUAGUUGGUCACUCUGCUCCAUUGGUCAGAAAUCUAGAGCAUUCUGGAGCAAGCAAGAUUCCUUCUACAAUGACAAAUUAUGCGUCACCUUUGCCAAUUCCACCUUUUGUUGUUCCUCGAAGUUUCUCAAUUCCUUCCAGCAGCCAGAGAGCAAUGACAAUACAUGUUUCUAAAUCUGUGGAGUCUCUGCAUGUCCCAGAAAAGGCUGA
RNAcentral lists this unclassified non-coding RNA (317 nucleotides) under Hevea brasiliensis (rubber tree). Lineage: Eukaryota; Viridiplantae; Streptophyta; Magnoliopsida; Malpighiales; Euphorbiaceae. The record is from RNAcentral.